RNAcentral lists this ribosomal RNA (2929 nucleotides) under Escherichia coli. RNAcentral's name for it is "23S ribosomal RNA". It matches the Rfam family "Bacterial large subunit ribosomal RNA". Lineage: Bacteria; Pseudomonadati; Pseudomonadota; Gammaproteobacteria; Enterobacterales; Enterobacteriaceae. The record is from RNAcentral.
GGGUUGUGAGGUUAAGCGACUAAGCGUACACGGUGGAUGCCCUGGCAGUCAGAGGCGAUGAAGGACGUGCUAAUCUGCGAUAAGCGUCGGUAAGGUGAUAUGAACCGUUAUAACCGGCGAUUUCCGAAUGGGGAAACCCAGUGUGUUUCGACACACUAUCAUUAACUGAAUCCAUAGGUUAAUGAGGCGAACCGGGGGAACUGAAACAUCUAAGUACCCCGAGGAAAAGAAAUCAACCGAGAUUCCCCCAGUAGCGGCGAGCGAACGGGGAGCAGCCCAGAGCCUGAAUCAGUGUGUGUGUUAGUGGAAGCGUCUGGAAAGGCGCGCGAUACAGGGUGACAGCCCCGUACACAAAAAUGCACAUGCUGUGAGCUCGAUGAGUAGGGCGGGACACGUGGUAUCCUGUCUGAAUAUGGGGACCAUCCUCCAAGGCUAAAUACCCUGACUGACCGAUAGUGAACCAGUACCGUGAGGGAAAGGCGAAAAGAACCCCGGCGAGGGGAGUGAAAAAGAACCUGAAACCGUGUACGUACAAGCAGUGGGAGCACGCUUAGGCGUGUGACUGCGUACCUUUUGUAUAAUGGGUCAGCGACUUAUAUUCUGUAGCAAGGUUAACCGAAUAGGGGAGCCGAAGGGAAACCGAGUCUUAACUGGGCGUUAAGUUGCAGGGUAUAGACCCGAAACCCGGUGAUCUAGCCAUGGGCAGGUUGAAGGUUGGGUAACACUAACUGGAGGACCGAACCGACUAAUGUUGAAAAAUUAGCGGAUGACUUGUGGCUGGGGGUGAAAGGCCAAUCAAACCGGGAGAUAGCUGGUUCUCCCCGAAAGCUAUUUAGGUAGCGCCUCGUGAAUUCAUCUCCGGGGGUAGAGCACUGUUUCGGCAAGGGGGUCAUCCCGACUUACCAACCCGAUGCAAACUGCGAAUACCGGAGAAUGUUAUCACGGGAGACACACGGCGGGUGCUAACGUCCGUCGUGAAGAGGGAAACAACCCAGACCGCCAGCUAAGGUCCCAAAGUCAUGGUUAAGUGGGAAACGAUGUGGGAAGGCCCAGACAGCCAGGAUGUUGGCUUAGAAGCAGCCAUCAUUUAAAGAAAGCGUAAUAGCUCACUGGUCGAGUCGGCCUGCGCGGAAGAUGUAACGGGGCUAAACCAUGCACCGAAGCUGCGGCAGCGACGCUUAUGCGUUGUUGGGUAGGGGAGCGUUCUGUAAGCCUGCGAAGGUGUGCUGUGAGGCAUGCUGGAGGUAUCAGAAGUGCGAAUGCUGACAUAAGUAACGAUAAAGCGGGUGAAAAGCCCGCUCGCCGGAAGACCAAGGGUUCCUGUCCAACGUUAAUCGGGGCAGGGUGAGUCGACCCCUAAGGCGAGGCCGAAAGGCGUAGUCGAUGGGAAACAGGUUAAUAUUCCUGUACUUGGUGUUACCGCGAAGGGGACGGAGAAGGCUAUGUUGGCCGGGCGACGGUUGUCCCGGUUUAAGCGUGUAGGCUGGUUUUCCAGGCAAAUCCGGAAAAUCAAGGCUGAGACGUGAUGACGAGGCACUACGGUGCUGAAGCAACAAAUGCCCUGCUUCCAGGAAAAGCCUCUAAGCAUCAGGUAACAUCAAAUCGUACCCCAAACCGACACAGGUGGUCAGGUAGAGAAUACCAAGGCGCUUGAGAGAACUCGGGUGAAGGAACUAGGCAAAAUGGUGCCGUAACUUCGGGAGAAGGCACGCUGAUAUGUAGGUGAAGUCCCUCGCGGAUGGAGCUGAAAUCAGUCGAAGAUACCAGCUGGCUGCAACUGUUUAUUAAAAACACAGCACUGUGCAAACACGAAAGUGGACGUAUACGGUGUGACGCCUGCCCGGUGCCGGAAGGUUAAUUGAUGGGGUUAGCCGCAAGGCGAAGCUCUUGAUCGAAGCCCCGGUAAACGGCGGCCGUAACUAUAACGGUCCUAAGGUAGCGAAAUUCCUUGUCGGGUAAGUUCCGACCUGCACGAAUGGCGUAAUGAUGGCGGGCUGUCUCCACCUGAGACUCCAGUGAAAUUGAACUCGCUGUGAAGAUGCAGUGUACCCGCGGCAAGACGGAAAGACCCCGUGAACCUUUACUAUAGCUUGACACUGAACAUUGAGCCUUGAUGUGUAGGAUAGGUGGGAGGCUUUGAAGUGUGGACGCCAGUCUGCAUGGAGCCGACCUUGAAAUACCACCCUUUAAUGUUUGAUGUUCUAACGUUGACCCGUAAUCCGGGUUGCGGACAGUGUCUGGUGGGUAGUUUGACUGGGGCGGUCUCCUCCUAAAGAGUAACGGAGGAGCACGAAGGUUGGCUAAUCCUGGUCGGACAUCAGGAGGUUAGUGCAAUGGCAUAAGCCAGCUUGACUGCGAGCGUGACGGCGCGAGCAGGUGCGAAAGCAGGUCAUAGUGAUCCGGUGGUUCUGAAUGGAAGGGCCAUCGCUCAACGGAUAAAAGGUACUUCCGGGGAUAACAGGCUGAUACCGCCCAAGAGUUCAUAUCGACGGCGGUGUUUGGCACCUCGAUGUCGGCUCAUCACAUCCUGGGGCUGAAGUAGGUCCCAAGGGUAUGGCUGUUCGCCAUUUAAAGUGGUACGCGAGCUGGGUUUAGAACGUCGUGAGACAGUUCGGUCCCUAUCUGCCGUGGGCGCUGGAGAACUGAGGGGGGCUGCUCCUAGUACGAGAGGACCGGAGUGGACGCAUCACUGGUGUUCGGGUUGUCAUGCCAAUGGCACUGCCCGGUAGCUAAAUGCGGAAGAGAUAAGUGCUGAAAGCAUCUAAGCACGAAACUUGCCCCGAGAUGAGUUCUCCCUGACUCCUUGAGAGUCCUGAAGGAACGUUGAAGACGACGACGUUGAUAGGCCGGGUGUGUAAGCGCAGCGAUGCGUUGAGCUAACCGGUACUAAUGAACCGUGAGGCUUAACCUUACAACGCCGAAGGUGUUU